UACAGAGGUCCCGAGCGUUGUUCGGAUUCAUUGGGCGUAAAGGGUGCGUAGGCGGCGGGGUAAGUCUGAUGUGAAAUCCUGGGGCUCAACCCUGGAACUGCAUUCGAUACUGCCGUGCUUGAGGACUGGAGAGGAGACUGGAAUUUACGGUGUAGCGGUGAAAUGCGUAGAUAUCGUAAGGAAGACCAGUGGCGAAGGCGGGUCUCUGGACAGUUCCUGACGCUGAGGCACGAAGGCCAGGGGAGCAAACGGG
RNAcentral lists this ribosomal RNA (253 nucleotides) under uncultured bacterium. Its description in RNAcentral is "partial 16S ribosomal RNA". It matches the Rfam family "Bacterial small subunit ribosomal RNA", at positions 524 to 776 of the family's 1533-position model. The record is from RNAcentral.